Molecule: ribosomal RNA, 254 nt
Filed under: uncultured bacterium
Lineage: Bacteria
Description: partial 16S ribosomal RNA
Rfam family: Bacterial small subunit ribosomal RNA
Source: RNAcentral
UACGUGGGGUGCAAGCGUUAUCCGGAUUUACUGGGCGUAAAGCGUACCGUCGGUGGUCGAGUAAGUUUCUUGUUUAAGCCUGGGGCCUAACUCCAGAAAGGCGAGGAAAACUACUUGACUUGAGUCUGUUCGGGGAAUUUGGAAUUCUCAGUGGAGGGGUGAAAUCCGUAGAUAUUGAGAGGAACACCAUACGCGAAGGCAGAAUUCUAGGGCAUGACUGACACUCAGGGACGACAGCUCGGGGAGCAAAAGGG